AUAAAAAAAUAAAACUCAAUAAUCUGACAACUAUAAAUAUUAAUAAUCUAAUCAUUAA
Molecule: transfer RNA, 58 nt
Filed under: Sinergasilus polycolpus
Lineage: Eukaryota; Metazoa; Arthropoda; Copepoda; Poecilostomatoida; Ergasilidae
Description: tRNA-Leu
Source: RNAcentral